CGGGGCGUAGCGCAGCCCGGUAGCGCACCUGCUUUGGGAGCAGGAUGUCGGAGGUUCAAAUCCUCUCGCCCCGA
Molecule: transfer RNA, 74 nt
Filed under: bacterium
Lineage: Bacteria
Also listed under: 1 other name
Description: tRNA-Pro
Rfam family: tRNA
About the family: Transfer RNA (tRNA) molecules are approximately 80 nucleotides in length. Their secondary structure includes four short double-helical elements and three loops (D, anti-codon, and T loops). Further hydrogen bonds mediate the characteristic L-shaped molecular structure. tRNAs have two regions of fundamental functional importance: the anti-codon, which is responsible for specific mRNA codon recognition, and the 3' end, to which the tRNAs corresponding amino acid is attached (by aminoacyl-tRNA synthetases). tRNAs cope with the degeneracy of the genetic code in two manners: having more than one tRNA (with a specific anti-codon) for a particular amino acid; and 'wobble' base-pairing, i.e. permitting non-standard base-pairing at the 3rd anti-codon position.
Source: RNAcentral